CUGUUACCACUGGUAUAUAUACCUCUCUCCCUCACUCUGUCUUCCUGGGAUCGUUGUGUGUCUGUGUCUUCCCACAACCCAGAGACCCUGGUAGUUUCUUGAGAAUCCAACACAGAGUGGAUUUGGAGAUGGUGUGAUUAGAGGGAACACAACCGACCGAGGGUUGACCUUCAUCAAGAGGUUAUCAUGCAAAAAGAGGAAGAGGAAGUAGAGGAGGACGAUGGACCAAAAGAGAUCUACAAUACUUGGACGGGGGUUGGUGAGUCCAGUGCUUUCACCGAACUUUUGCCUAAAGACUACAGCUAUUUAAAUUCCCUGCGGACGUAAGGACGAGGAGGAGGAGGAGGAGGAACGGCAGUUGUUUUCAAGAGUCAUUCUAAAGGUGGCACAUGUGGAAGGAGGAGAGGCGGGAGAACGGGAGACUAAUGGCAGGAUGAAGAGAAGCUGGUGGCAGCGGGAAUGACUGACAUCCCAAGCGUUGCAUUGGUUUGAUCACAGACAAACAAGACAGUUAUUAUGAUCCCAUUUAGAAGAAAACAAAUAUCUAAACAGCAGCGUUGCCUCAUGUGACCCUCAUUUAUCAUUUUUAAUUUCACUAAGUAGUUUCAGGCAGAUUACCAGGCAACAGCUCUGUGUACCAUUACCAGUUCAGAAAUUCAUCAACCCAGUUAUAAGUAUCCUGAUUGUAAAUCACGGCGUUGGUUUUUAUAUGGCAAUAAAAUGAGAUGAUCCCGUGGUAAUCAAACAUCUAAUUAAAUUAAUUUACCUAUGAUACUAAUGCAGUUAUCCAAAUCACUUGUGUUAUUGACAUGCACUUCAGUGUGUACCUUGCAGUAUAUGUAUAUUCUGUUUACUGUUAAGCCUUGCACCAAAACUGAUUGAAGACUUUUGUCUUUAGUCAGAGACCAAAGACACAUUUGCAGUAAUGAACUGUACACUGGGAUGUCCCCCGUUUACACUUCCUUUCAAGGACACAACUCCAGCAACGGCGCAGCUGCUCUGAGCAUGACUAAUUUGGUGUUAGUUUAGCAGCCACAGCAAGAUGCUAAAACGU
This is a long non-coding RNA of Cynoglossus semilaevis (tongue sole), 1054 nucleotides long. RefSeq lists it as uncharacterized. The record is from RefSeq and is a predicted model, not a curated record. The transcript has 4 exons. Lineage: Eukaryota; Metazoa; Chordata; Actinopteri; Pleuronectiformes; Cynoglossidae.